ACGCUUGAAGUCAGUCGCGUCGUCUGGAAAUCAACCUUGCUUUUGUUGGGUGUACUUUCCAGUUGACGGGCCAGCAUCAGUUUUGACCGGUGGAAAAAGGCUAAGGGAAUGUGGCACCUUCGGGUGUGUUAUAGCCCUUGGUUGUAUACAUCGGUUGGGACUGAGGAACUCAGCACGCCGCAAGGCAGGUCUUCGGACACUUUCGUGCUUAGGAUGCUGGCAUAAUGGCUUUAAUCGACCCGUCUUGAAACACGGACCAAGGAGUC
This 266-nucleotide ribosomal RNA is filed under the name Parasola plicatilis. RNAcentral describes it as "partial large subunit ribosomal RNA". It matches the Rfam family "Eukaryotic large subunit ribosomal RNA", at positions 419 to 675 of the family's 3401-position model. The record is from RNAcentral. Lineage: Eukaryota; Fungi; Basidiomycota; Agaricomycetes; Agaricales; Psathyrellaceae.